CCUGAGAAACCCGAAAGAUCGAAUGGGGAGAUUCACCGUCAGCGACGUCGGCUUCACGGUGGUUCGCGAUGCGCGGCGCCUUCACGGGCGACGUCGCACGCGGCCGUCGUGUUUUUCAUGUCCGGCGGCGUCGGCGUGCACUUCUCCCCUAGUAGGACGUCGCGACCCGUUGGGUGUCGGUCUACGGCCUGGGUCGUCGCCUGUCCCGUCGCUUCGGCGUUGCGGGGCAGACACCCGGUAGCCCGGCCGGCUGCCCGGCGGUACUCGCACGGUAUCUGGCCGCAAUCCUCGAACUGCGUCUCAGGCCCGCCGCAAGCGCGGUCAGUGUAUACCCGGAGGUACGGACCCAGUGCCGUCCCCGGGCCUGGCCCGCUGUUCGCCGGCGGUGUCCUCUGACAGGCCACGCGUUUCGUUGAUACCGGUCGGCGACGCUACUGCUUUGGGUACUUUCAGG
This 454-nucleotide ribosomal RNA is filed under the name Micrevania sp. 308. RNAcentral describes it as "eukaryotic LSU rRNA". The record is from RNAcentral. Lineage: Eukaryota; Metazoa; Arthropoda; Insecta; Hymenoptera; Evaniidae.